RNAcentral lists this ribosomal RNA (733 nucleotides) under uncultured beta proteobacterium. RNAcentral's name for it is "bacterial SSU rRNA". It matches the Rfam family "Bacterial small subunit ribosomal RNA", at positions 111 to 839 of the family's 1533-position model. The record is from RNAcentral. Lineage: Bacteria; Pseudomonadati; Pseudomonadota; Betaproteobacteria.
UAAUAUAUCGGAACGUAUCCAAUAAUGGGGGAUAACUAAUCGAAAGGUUGGCUAAUACCGCAUACGCCCUACGGGGGAAAGCAGGGGAUCUUCGGACCUUGCGUUAAUGGAGCGGCUGAUAUCUGAUUAGCUAGUAGGUGAGGUAAAGGCUCACCUAGGCUUCGAUCAGUAGCUGGUCUGAGAGGACGACCAGCCACACUGGAACUGAGACACGGUCCAGACUCCUACGGGAGGCAGCAGUGGGGAAUUUUGGACAAUGGGGGCAACCCUGAUCCAGCCAUUCCGCGUGAGUGAAGAAGGCCUUCGGGUUGUAAAGCUCUUUCGCAAGGGAAGAAACGUUACGAGCGAAUAACUCGUGAUAAUGACGGUACCUUGAUAAGAAGCACCGGCUAACUACGUGCCAGCAGCCGCGGUAAUACGUAGGGUGCGAGCGUUAAUCGGAAUUACUGGGCGUAAAGCGUGCGCAGGCGGUUUUGUAAGUCAGAUGUGAAAUCCCCGAGCUCAACUUGGGAACUGCGUUUGAAACUACAAGGCUAGAGUAUGGUAGAGGGGGGUAGAAUUCCACGUGUAGCAGUGAAAUGCGUAGAGAUGUGGAGGAAUACCAAUGGCGAAGGCAGCCCCCUGGACUAAUACUGACGCUCAUGCACGAAAGCGUGGGGAGCAAACAGGAUUAGAUACCCUGGUAGUCCACGCCCUAAACGAUGUCUACUAGUUGUUGGGAGAGUAAAAUCUC